AAAGUGGAUGGUGGCCUGAAUUUGGUCUGUGGGCUGCAGUUUACCUGUCCUGUGUUAAAGGAACUGUCUGGGCAGAUGUGAGUUCAAGUCUUGUCAUUUGCUGACUGGGUGUUAAGCAAGUAAUUUAACUUCUAACAGCUCCAACAUUCUUCAGCUUAAUAAUGGGCAUAAUAACAGUAUUAAUGUUUGUCCCUUAUAAAGUUUAGGGUUUAAAUGAUAUAAGUAAAGCACUUAGCCCCAUGUCUAGCAUGUGUCUAUUACCCAUAUUUGGGUGAUUACAUCGUUUCGUGUUAAAAGAGGACUCCUGGAGAGGAAACUAGGUGAUAUUAGCCAUUGAUUAUGUAGGGACAAGGGAUAUGAACAGUGACCAUCCAAAGUCUGUCCCAGAAUGUGUAUCCACCCUAGCUAUUAUUAUUAGAAUCAUCUCUGUUAGCUGCUAAUGCCUCUAAUUUCCUGCAAAUGUUCUGUCCUCCUGCUUCCUAUGUCAGGACCUGGACUGGGCUUGCCUAAUGCUCUGAAAUUACCCUUUCUUCUUUUUUCUCUUUGAUCUCAGAAAAUGAUCUGAUCUGAUGAGUCGAAGACCAUGUUACUUGAUCUGGUUCAGCUUAGAUACUUCAUGUUAAAAUCUGAAAAGAAAAGUAACAGGACUGUAUGUGAAUUACCAAUGAUCUUUCAGAGGAACUCAUAUUUAAGGUAAGUAAUAGGAGGAAUGGAAGAGAGAAUGGGUAAUGAUGCAGAUUGAGAAGGUCUGGAAAAAAUGGAAAUAAGUGGUAAAGGAAUGCAGGGUGGGUGCUAACAUUUUACCUUGCUUGGGUCAUGGAGAUCCCAGGUCUGCAAAUAAUGAGACUUCAUGUAAAUAAUUAAAAGGACUUGAUGACUUUCUAAGUCUGUUAAGCCUUUGAUUGCAUGACUCUAAAGCUGCCAGCACAAUUUUACUUUGACUAGUUCUGAUUUCAAGAGAACAGGACUGUGUGCUUAGUUUAUAAAAUGAACAGUGUAAUUCAGAAAUUGAUUAAACCAGAGGGAGUUGCUUUGACUCACAAGCCCCAGAUUACAAGUUCAGAAUUGAUUUCUUACUCUUCCAA
This 1085-nucleotide long non-coding RNA is filed under the name Callithrix jacchus (white-tufted-ear marmoset). Its description in RNAcentral is "lncRNA (ENSCJAG00000070529.1)". Lineage: Eukaryota; Metazoa; Chordata; Mammalia; Primates; Cebidae. The record is from RNAcentral.